This 75-nucleotide transfer RNA is filed under the name Caudoviricetes sp. RNAcentral's name for it is "tRNA-Gln". It matches the Rfam family "tRNA". From Rfam's summary of the family: Transfer RNA (tRNA) molecules are approximately 80 nucleotides in length. Their secondary structure includes four short double-helical elements and three loops (D, anti-codon, and T loops). Lineage: Duplodnaviria; Heunggongvirae; Uroviricota; Caudoviricetes. The record is from RNAcentral.
AACUCUUUCGCCAAGCGGUAAGGCACGAGAGUUUGAUUCUCGCAUUCGUUGGUUCGAAUCCAACAAGGGCUGUUA